This 601-nucleotide ribosomal RNA is filed under the name uncultured Antarctic cyanobacterium. Its description in RNAcentral is "bacterial SSU rRNA". It matches the Rfam family "Bacterial small subunit ribosomal RNA", at positions 382 to 985 of the family's 1533-position model. Lineage: Bacteria; Bacillati; Cyanobacteriota. The record is from RNAcentral.
CCUGACGGAGCAAGACCGCGUGGGGGAAGAAGGCUCUUGGGUUGUAAACCCCUUUUCUCUGGGAAGAAAGUUGUGAAAGCAACCUGACGGUACCAGAGGAAUCAGCAUCGGCUAACUCCGUGCCGGCAGCCGCGGUAAGACGGAGGAUGCAAGCGUUAUCCGGAAUGAUUGGGCGUAAAGCGUCCGCAGGUGGCAGUUCAAGUCUGCUGUCAAAGACCGGGGCUCAACCUCGGAAAGGCAGUGGAAACUGAACAGCUAGAGUAUGGUAGGGGCAAAGGGAAUUCCUGGUGUAGCGGUGAAAUGCGUAGAGAUCAGGAAGAACAUCGGUGGCGAAGGCGCUUUGCUGGACCAUAACUGACACUCAGGGACGAAAGCUAGGGGAGCGAAUGGGAUUAGAUACCCCAGUAGUCCUAGCCGUAAACGAUGGAUACUAGGUGUUGUCUGUAUCGACCCGGACAGUGCCGUAGCUAACGCGUUAAGUAUCCCGCCUGGGGAGUACGCACGCAAGUGUGAAACUCAAAGGAAUUGACGGGGGCCCGCACAAGCGGUGGAGUAUGUGGUUUAAUUCGAUGCAACGCGAAGAACCUUACCAGGACUUGAC